UUUCCGUAGGUGAACCUGCGGAAGGAUCAUUACUGAGUUAGGGUCUUUAUGGCCCGACCUCCAACCCUUUGUUUAAUCUACCAUGUUGCUUUGGCAGGCCCGCUUAGAAAUGGGCCGCCGGAGACCUUUGAGUCUCUGGUCAGUGCCUGCCAGUAGCCUUUCUAAAUUCAUUUAUAACCGUGUCUGAAUAUACAAAGAAAAAUUAAAAUAAAACUUUCAACAACGGAUCUCUUGGUUCUGGCGUCGAUGAAGAACGCAGC
This 260-nucleotide unclassified non-coding RNA is filed under the name plant metagenome. RNAcentral describes it as "partial contains small subunit ribosomal RNA, internal transcribed spacer 1, and 5.8S ribosomal RNA". The stretch from base 212 to 260 matches the Rfam family "5.8S ribosomal RNA", at positions 1 to 49 of the family's 154-position model. The record is from RNAcentral.